AUUGAACGCUGGCGGCAGGCUUAACACAUGCAAGUCGAGCGGGGUGAUGGUGCUUGCACUAUCACUUAGCGGCGGACGGGUGAGUAAUGCAUAGGAAUCUGCCUAUUAGUGGGGGACGACAUCUCGAAAGGGAUGCUAAUACCGCAUACGUCCUACGGGAGAAAGCAGGGGAUCACUUGUGACCUUGCGCUAAUAGAUGAGCCUAAGUCGGAUUAGCUAGUUGGUGGGGUAAAGGCCUACCAAGGCGACGAUCUGUAGCGGGUCGGAGAGGAUGAUCCGCCACACUGGGACUGAGACACGGCCCAGACUCCUACGGGAGGCAGCAGUGGGGAAUAUUGGACAAUGGGGGGAACCCUGAUCCAGCCAUGCCGCGUGUGUGAAGAAGGCCUUAUGGUUGUAAAGCACUUUAGGCGAGGAGGAGGCUUACCUAGUUAAUACCUGGGAUAAGCGGACGUUACUCGCAGAAUAAGCACCGGCUAACUCUGUGCCAGCCGCCGCAGUAA
RNAcentral lists this ribosomal RNA (503 nucleotides) under uncultured bacterium. RNAcentral's name for it is "partial 16S ribosomal RNA". It matches the Rfam family "Bacterial small subunit ribosomal RNA", at positions 30 to 523 of the family's 1533-position model. The record is from RNAcentral.